UUCUUAUCGAGAGAGGUGGAGGGACUGGCCCAAUGAAACCCGGCAACCGCAAGUUCGCUUGAAGGUGCUAAAUCCUGCAAAGCAUAUGGGCUUUGGGAGAUGAGAG
Molecule: non-coding RNA, 106 nt
Filed under: Shouchella clausii KSM-K16
Lineage: Bacteria; Bacillati; Bacillota; Bacilli; Caryophanales; Bacillaceae
Also listed under: 1 other name
Description: Bacillus clausii KSM-K16 SAM riboswitch aptamer (S box leader)
Rfam family: SAM riboswitch aptamer (S box leader)
About the family: The SAM riboswitch is found upstream of a number of genes which code for proteins involved in methionine or cysteine biosynthesis in Gram-positive bacteria.
Source: Rfam by way of RNAcentral